This 253-nucleotide ribosomal RNA is filed under the name uncultured bacterium. Its description in RNAcentral is "partial 16S ribosomal RNA". It matches the Rfam family "Bacterial small subunit ribosomal RNA", at positions 524 to 776 of the family's 1533-position model. The record is from RNAcentral.
UACGAAGGGGGCUAGCGUUGCUCGGAAUCACUGGGCGUAAAGCGCACGUAGGCGGCUUUUUAAGUCAGGGGUGAAAUCCUGGAGCUCAACUCCAGAACUGCCUUUGAUACUGGGAAGCUUGAGUCCGGGAGAGGUGAGUGGAACUGCGAGUGUAGAGGUGAAAUUCGUAGAUAUUCGCAAGAACACCAGUGGCGAAGGCGGCUCACUGGCCCGAUACUGACGCUGAGGUGCGAAAGCGUGGGGAGCAAACAGG